GUAUCUGUGAAAAGCAGCCUAGCAAUGGACGUGUGGUUACUGAUCCCAACGCUGAUAGUCAGAGGUGGGAGUGAAGGGUGGCCAAGGCUCCUGGUACCCUAGAAGAUAGCUAGACAUUAAAAUUUGCUAGACAUUAAAAUUUGGAAGGAAGAUGUUUGCCAAGGCUGGUGCUUUUUGCAAUCAAGCUUGCCAAAUUCCUGGAACUAGAUCGGAAGUAGAGACAAAAGAAGAUGAGGAAGUCAAGGAAUCCGGUGAAAAGGGAGUACCGUCCGUCCCUCAACCCAGCGAGAGCAGCCAGAAGCCUACAAUACUGUGCUUAUGAAGUCUGCUGAGCUUACGUGCACUUAGGGUGGUUCUCUCUCAUGGGAAGGGACAAUUACAUGGGGCAUCUGUGUUAAUAUGCCUCAGGUAUUAAACUCCAAGGCACCU
This 429-nucleotide long non-coding RNA is filed under the name Mus musculus (house mouse). Its description in RNAcentral is "long non-coding RNA chr2:3148802-3149231". The record is from RNAcentral. Lineage: Eukaryota; Metazoa; Chordata; Mammalia; Rodentia; Muridae.